UCCUCAGAAUUCCUGCAAAGGAAGAAGAGUGAGAGAGAAGGACUGAGAGAAGGUUUGAGAGAGAGAGAACGGAUUUGCCGGAGUUUUCGUCGGAGAGUCGCCUAUAGGAUCCAUUCCCUACUAAGACCUGUACUCUGGAGCCCUUCUUGGAGUGAAGUAAGAACUCGUGUGGAGAUUUCCUCCUCUUCCCUCAAGAUCAGAAACAAAAAAAAAAAAACCCAAGGGAAGAUUCGCCGCUGAUCUUGGUGAGGAAAACGGACGAAACGACGAGAUCGGAGAGACCACCCAAGAACGGAGGAGGGAGAAAACCGCCGGCGUACCACGUGGCAACCAGCUAGAGGGCCGCGUGCGCCAAUCGCCCCCGGACACGCGUCGAGCGCCGCCUGGGAAAACGCGGCUCCAGCUCUCCUGCAACACGCGUCUCUGGCUACGCGACCCGGACCCGCGACUGCAGAAAUCUCUGGGCGCGUGACACUCGCGCGUGGGAUCUGCGAGUGGCUGCUCCCCGGCGUGUGACUGGCGCGUGGAGGCGCGUGACCUUAUUGAGGAAAAAUCACCCCCUCUCGAUACGCCAAGUGUGUGGAAACGCUGCGUAAGGGCACGUAGCAUCCAAGUACGUGAGGCGUCGAGUCAAGAGAGGGCGCGUCGAUCGAUGUGGGUUGUCACAGAGGAAGCGUGUCCCGGGGCGUCAGUCUAGUAUAUUGAAUAGUUCACUUUGACCUUAAUGUUUCUUUUCGUGUUUUUACCUGGGCACUUAUGUCCUUUUAAUAAAGAUACGUUUUUCUUUGAAACAAAUGACUUCCUUGAAUUUCUCGUUUAUACAUUACAUGUCAUACAAUGUUAGUCACGGCUUAAGGAUUAUGUUUUUUUUUCGGGUCGUGACAGAAAAGGUCCCCACACAUCAAUGUUCAAGUUCAAAUGGCUUUGUAGUAAGAGAUAAUGAAGAAUUAAAGGGAAGUGCAUGUGACUUUCUUUGUUGACAAAGACUCCCGAAAGAAGAUUUUAUCACUAAUAGACCAACUCAGUUUACAAAACUUCAAGGCAGUAGCAAUGACUCUAUCUCAAAUGUAUGCCUAGGACGUUGGCUCAACAUUAUUUAAAGCCGUAGAAGCAUUAAGGAAAUGAAUAACCUAGGUCUUUGUAUAAAAGGAAGUUCUAGAAGCGGU
Long non-coding RNA from Cucurbita moschata (crookneck pumpkin), 1166 nucleotides. RefSeq lists it as uncharacterized. The record is from RefSeq and is a predicted model, not a curated record. NCBI's taxonomy places the organism in Eukaryota, Viridiplantae, Streptophyta, Magnoliopsida, Cucurbitales, Cucurbitaceae. The transcript has 6 exons.